RNAcentral lists this long non-coding RNA (654 nucleotides) under Zostera marina. RNAcentral describes it as "long non-coding RNA (ZMAR_LNC002536)". The record is from RNAcentral. Lineage: Eukaryota; Viridiplantae; Streptophyta; Magnoliopsida; Alismatales; Zosteraceae.
CAAAAUGCAAAAUUCUCUAAUUAAUCCCCAAAUAAAACCUCAAACCCCUAAAUUUUAAACCCAUCGCUAAACUCCCAACUCCUAAACCCCCGAUUUCACUCAACCGUGAUUUCAACCGAUGGCAUCGACGAUUCCAACGGCAGCGGCGAUUUCCAACUGCACCGGCGACCUACAGGGCUUCCUCUCCUCCUGCGAUUUCCAACGGCACUGGCAAUUCUCGGAUUUCCCACCCAAUCUUGAUUCCGACUUCCGGAGCGGCGACUUCCUGUUUCGGCGAGACAUCCGGCCGGUGACCUCAAUCCUUCAACAUGUAAUUUAUUUGCAAAUAGUUAGUACUCAUUUCCUGUAAUUAGAUAAUAAAAAAAUAAAUCCAGGCUCAGGUGCGACCAGAUUAGACUCUGAUCAUUGAUUUUACGCUUCUGAGCGUACCAGAACCAUCACCUAAAAAAAUAUUUGUAAUUCAGAUUAUUUUGAUUAGAUAUCCUACUAAUUACUAAUAGUGAUCAAACUUUGAACUUUUUGUAACAGCGCUGACCGGUCGGAAGCGGUAGUCGGCGCCGUCAAACGUCGAGUUGGAACGCAAGGAAUAAUUCCCCGAAGGGCCGAAGGUGGAAGAUAGAAAAUCCCGGAGGAUCCUGAAGUGGAUGAGAGAGU